Long non-coding RNA from Rattus rattus (black rat), 343 nucleotides. RefSeq lists it as uncharacterized. The transcript is spliced from 2 exons. The record is from RefSeq and is a predicted model, not a curated record. Lineage: Eukaryota; Metazoa; Chordata; Mammalia; Rodentia; Muridae.
GUUAGGAGGCAGAGCCGUGAAGUCCUGUGUACCUGAGAGCUCAGAAAAAGAGAGAAGAAAAUGUUUAGAUAGGUGGAGUGGGGAGUGCCGCGCGCCGAGGCUGGCUCUCCCCACGCAGUAUGGCAGGCGGGUGUUAUACUAGUAUAUGCUGGUCUUGAAUUCACCAUGUAACUGAGGAUGACCCUAAACUUCUCAUCUUUCUGCUUUUACCUCCUCCGAAGUGCUGGAAUUACAAGCAUGUGCCACCAGGAUCAGUUUAUGCCAAUGCAAUGGAUUAAAUCCAGGACGCCGUGUUUCCUCUACUGAGCUAUACCCACGGCCAUGCAUUUUCAGUCAGGAAAAA